Molecule: long non-coding RNA, 1352 nt
Filed under: Homo sapiens (human)
Lineage: Eukaryota; Metazoa; Chordata; Mammalia; Primates; Hominidae
Description: HSALNT0018724
Source: RNAcentral
CUGGGUGAUCCCUGCCUGCCGCACUCACAGUCUGCUGUUUACAGUCCCGAAUGCAUCCAGUGGAAUGGUCCUCCCCAUCUGCAGCAUCUGGUGCAAUGUAGGAGACCCUUCAGCUUCCUCUGGACUGUUUUUCUUUUCUGUUUGUGUCCAUCUUCCUUGAUCAAACUCCAGAAGGCAUAUCCCCAAUAGUUUUCUCCAUUGUGGAGGACCUCUUCCAUAUUUUAUGUGCUAGGAUUGUGAUAUUCUGUUAUGGCAGCCCUAGCAGAUGAAUAAUACAGGUAGAAUGGUCCUCAGGUGGUCUGAAGCAGGAGAUACGGCACUUAUGGUGCUCUCUGAUGAAGCCUGAGUCAAUGGAGGAGCCCGCAGCUGCCGGGUCACUUGGUUUCAGGUUUGUGAGAGUCAGCUGAGGGACAAGAGCUCCGGGAACUUUGAAGGCACCCUCUCGAGAAAGCGUUUUCUGUCUUAAAUAUUUUCCUGCACAGGUCUGAAAUUGUAUCAGUAGAAAUUCAUGUGGGGGUCUUGAUGCCUUCUUUAGUUUUCAGCAAUCUCAUGAUAGAAUGAGAAUGUACCUGGUCACCAGGACGCUGUUGAUAGGCUGAGAAUGUGGGGUGUGGUUUCUGGAAAAGGACUGCAGGGAAGCCGGCAGUGAAGGACAGAUGGGCCAGAUCUUUAGGUUCUCUCCCUUCCAGCUUUGCCCAGGACCAGCCUGGAUGAGCUUCUCAUGGGGCUUACAGAAAGAAGGGUGUUUUGGUUCUUCCUUGAAGGUUCUGAGAUGGCAACUGCUGGUUUCAUUUGUCUGGAGAUUUCAUCUUUCAGAGCUGUCAAGGAUUUUAGUGGCUAUAAGGAGAGAACUCUGAUGAUAAAGUUUAUUGAUUCAUGACUGCAUUCAUAUAAAACACUAAAUGGAAUUUUGAAUGGCAAGAAACAUGUUUUGUACAUUCAAUAAAUGAGAAUCUGUGUAUCAUGAAAAUGGUAACACUUAGUAUGAUAAUUUUCAGUUUAUAAAGUGUUUUAUUUAAUUCUGACAAUAAUCCUGUAAGGUAGCUGAGUUGUUGAGUUAUAGUAGCACUCAAUGUAUACCCUUCAACCCCUGCCACAAACACACAAAUGCAUGUUCAGUUUUCUUUCAUAUACAAAAUAUCCCAUCUCCCCAAACCGUUACCCCAUCUCAUACUUUGUUCACUUCUAAAAUUCCUGGAAAGGUGAAAUGUUCCCAUAACUGUCUUCAACUCAUCACUACCACUCCAUGAGAUCUGGUCUAAUCUUUGCCAUUAUAGAAAAUCUCACUUAGUUACUAAUAACUUCCUUGUUGCUAAAUGUAGUGAAGUUUCCUCUAUAUGUAUCAUUCGAAG